GUAAGCAGAGAACAACAGAAGCACAAUCUGAAGCUGCUGCAGAGGCUGAAAUAGAUAAGCUGCAGAAAGAGUUAGAACAGGAGAUCCAGAGAGAACAACUGCUUAGAGAAGAACUUAGAGUUAUAACCGAUGAGAUCAAUGAUUUAGAUCGCCAAAGAGACUCUAUUGAGGAGCACAGGAAAUUGCUCAAGAAAAUUGAGCAAGAUCAUCUUCGAGCUGAGAUGAAGCUAUCACUGUAUGCUUCUGUCACAAGUAUCAUCCCGGACUUGGAUGAUCAAUCCAAAAUAUCAGGCCAUAUUGUGGAGAGAGAUAAGAAGGUGGUUGAAAAUUUCGAGUUUGAUUCAUCAAAUCAAACUGCCUUUGACACUUGUAACAACAUCUGGAAGAUGAUUAAUUUGUAAGAAGCAGCAUUGCUCAGGCUUAG
RNAcentral lists this unclassified non-coding RNA (424 nucleotides) under Hevea brasiliensis (rubber tree). Lineage: Eukaryota; Viridiplantae; Streptophyta; Magnoliopsida; Malpighiales; Euphorbiaceae. The record is from RNAcentral.